GGUCCCGCCUGCCUGUGACCCCCAAGUUUAACGGCCGCGGUAUACUGACCGUGCGAAGGUAGCGUAAUCAUUUGUCUUUUAAAUGGAGACCUGUAUGAAUGGCAUAACGAGGGUUCAACUGUCUCCCCCCCCCAGUCAAUGAAAUUGAUCUGCCCGUGCAGAAGCGGACAUAACAACAUAAGACGAGAAGACCCUAUGGAGCUUUAGACAAAAGGCCACCCAUGUAAAGACACCUUUGUACCCUAAAGGGGCUUACAGGCUAAAAACUAACUGAACCCUGGCCCGGAUGUCUUCGGUUGGGGCGACCCUGGGGGAAAAACUAGCCCCCAAGAGGAACAAGGCAAACCCCUAAGCCAAGAGAAACAACUCCAAGCAACAGAAAAUCUGACCACAAACGACCCAGGGCCCCACCCUGAUCAACGAACCAAGUUACCCUAGGGAUAACAGCGCAAUCCCCUCCCAGAGCCCAUAUCGACGAGGGGGUUUACGACCUCGAUGUUGGAUCAGGACAUCCUAAUGGUGCAGCCGCUAUUAA
Molecule: ribosomal RNA, 535 nt
Filed under: Nemichthys scolopaceus (slender snipe eel)
Lineage: Eukaryota; Metazoa; Chordata; Actinopteri; Anguilliformes; Nemichthyidae
Description: partial 16S ribosomal RNA
Rfam family: Bacterial large subunit ribosomal RNA
Source: RNAcentral